UUCCUACUUACCUGUAUAAAUUCCCCCAGACUCUGGCUGGAGCAGAAUCUUCUAGAAUUCCUGGGUACUGAAGCAUAACCUCUCCUCCAGCAGAGGCUCUGAAGACCAGCACUGAGAGCUGCUGGAGACGUCCUCCUCUCCAUUCCUCCAGGUGUAACUACAGGACUUCAUGUGCUUAGUCGGGGUAACGGAAGAAUCACAUCCUGCAGAAUUCUUCCAAGUCCCCAGGCAGGACAAGUGUACAGCCUUACAGAACUCUGCAGUGGCUGUCACCAAGGGUCUCUUUGCUUCCGGCUGGGACACAGUGACAUUCCUCACACCUGAAGAAUGAGGUCUCUGUGGGCAGGGAAGAGGAACUUCUGUGGGGUCUUUCCUACAAUAAGCCUCCCCAGGGAGGCCUCAGCAGCCUCUCCCACUCUUCAUCCUCGAGGAACACAAUAGAGGAUGAUGUCACCAUCAAUCUAGUCUUUUCCCCCUGCAUCACAUAUCAAGAGUGUGGGCACUCAGUGAGGUGCCCCAAUUCUCUCUCUAGAACGCCAAGCCCUAGGGACAGGCUGAGGCCCUGAAAAUCCCCAGGAAAGGCCACCUCAGCCAGGCUGAGGAGGGGGAGGGGUGAGCUGCUGCCAGAUCCUGAGGGGCCCCAACAGGGCCGCAUGACUCAUUCCCUGUUUCUGUCCACUCUGGUCUGAGCGCCUUGGCCCAGGGGCCUCUAGGAGGUUGUAACACAGGUUGGCCCCUCGCCCAUCAGGGCUCAGCAGACAAAAAUUAAAGAUCUCACCCCUCAGGAACUCACGCAGACAGCGGAGGCUGCUCUGUGCUCUGCCUCACAGACCAGACCUCAGGCCAGCAGAGGCUGGUGGCCAAGGGAGAAGGGAAAGGCGUCUUUGGCUCCUCCCCCUACUUUCCACCCCCAAUUCAGCCUGGAGUCCUGAGCACCCAUCACUCUCUUCUCUCUCCCACUCUGGUCUUGGGCUGAAGGUGGUGGUGCCAACCAGUGUCUCCUCAGCUCUGCCCCAUUCCUGUCCACCUCUGUCUGAAGACAACAGUCAAGGUGAAAGCCUGGCCUUUGAGGAGAAAUAACUGUCCACACAUUUUCUGAUAGCACAGUCCUGAUCAGAUCAAUCUCCUCUCCCACAACCUUCAAGGACUCCCCACUACUUCAAGACCCAACUUCCUACGGACUUG
This 1185-nucleotide long non-coding RNA is filed under the name Marmota monax (woodchuck). Lineage: Eukaryota; Metazoa; Chordata; Mammalia; Rodentia; Sciuridae. The record is from RNAcentral.